Molecule: non-coding RNA, 257 nt
Organism: Pelobates cultripes (western spadefoot toad)
Lineage: Eukaryota; Metazoa; Chordata; Amphibia; Anura; Pelobatidae
Source: the annotation of a GenBank genome assembly
GAGGCAUAUUGGGAGGAAGUUGAGGUUAGAGAUGGCACAUCGGGAAGGGAAGUAGUGGGUAUGGAGACAACAUAUAGGAGAGUGAAGCAGCAGAAAGGGAUAGAGAUGGUGUGUCAGAGAGGGAAGAAGAGAACAAGGAUAGCAGUAGAUAAGGAUAAAGAUGGCGUAUCAGGGAAAAAAAACUGUGGAUGGGGAUGAUGCAUCUUACAUUGUGUGAAUGUAAUGAUACAGUAACAGGUGUGCAAAUUGACAUGGAC